This is a small nuclear RNA of Mustela putorius furo (domestic ferret), 107 nucleotides long. The record is from Ensembl. Lineage: Eukaryota; Metazoa; Chordata; Mammalia; Carnivora; Mustelidae.
GUGCUUGCUUCGGCAGCACGUAGACUAAAAUUGGAAUGAUACAGAGAAGAUUAGCAUGGUCCCUGUGCAAGGAUGGCACACAGAUUUAUGAAGCAUUCUGCAUUUAA